GGAGUAUGGACCGUGUCUCAGUUCCAUUGUGGCCGUUCAUCCUCUCAGACCGGCUACCGAUCGUCGGCUUGGUAGGCCUUUACCCCACCAACUACCUAAUCGGACGCAGGCUCCUCGCAAAGCGAUAAAUCUUUAAUGCAACUGUCAUGCGACAACUGCACAACAUUCGGUAUUAGCGCCCCUUUCGGAACGUUGUCCCCAUCUUUGCGGCAGAUUACCUGCGCUUUACUCACCCGUUCGCCACUAAACCCGAAGGUUCCGUUCGACUUGCAUGUGUUAAGCACGCCGCCAGCGUCGUCCUCGAGCCACGGAUCAAACUACU
This 322-nucleotide ribosomal RNA is filed under the name uncultured Veillonellaceae bacterium. Its description in RNAcentral is "partial 16S ribosomal RNA". Lineage: Bacteria; Bacillati; Bacillota; Negativicutes; Veillonellales; Veillonellaceae. The record is from RNAcentral.